ACCCUCUCAGGGGUGCACCUGGAGAGUUUCCAGUACUCUACCAGUCUCGGCUAUGGGAGGGAGAGUCAAGCAGAGACAUACAAAUUCCAUUCCUAGCUUGGCCAGUGGCUAGUGAGUGGAAGGCAAUCUGCUAUAAAU
Molecule: small nucleolar RNA, 138 nt
Filed under: Ornithorhynchus anatinus (platypus)
Lineage: Eukaryota; Metazoa; Chordata; Mammalia; Monotremata; Ornithorhynchidae
Source: RNAcentral